Molecule: long non-coding RNA, 433 nt
Filed under: Nicotiana benthamiana
Lineage: Eukaryota; Viridiplantae; Streptophyta; Magnoliopsida; Solanales; Solanaceae
Description: long non-coding RNA (NBEN_LNC021120)
Source: RNAcentral
GGAGUCCCAUCAAGCCUCAAUUCUUCAUGAGUUUCUGGAUGAGUAAUCUUCACAGUUUUACGUGCACCUAGAUACUUUCCUGCCUGGUGUUGAGGAAACUGUGACGGCAUAUUCAUUCCCAUGUUCCCCAACUGCGGAGGUAGUUGAGGUCCCAUUCCUGAUGAAAAAUUCAGGCCCUGCCCCUGAUGCAUCAUCCCUUGAGACUGCAUUGGGUGGGGUUGAAGACCUGAGACAAACGUGUUGAGGAAACUGUGACGGCAUAUUCAUCCCCAUGUUCCCCAACUGCGGAGGUAGUUGAGGUCCCAUUCCUGAUGAAAAAUUCAGGCCCUGCCCCUGAUGCAUCAUCCCUUGAGACUGCAUUGGGUGGGUUUGAAGACCUGAGACAAACAUUGGCUGCUGCAUAGGUGGAGUGCCAAUUGGCAGAUGCAUCGGC